AUUGAACGCUGGCGGCAUGAUUUACACAUGCAAGUCGAACGGUAACAGGCCGCAAGGUGCUGACGAGUGGCGAACGGGUGAGUAAUGCAUCGGAACGUGCCCAGUCGUGGGGGAUAACUACUCGAAAGAGUAGCUAAUACCGCAUACGAUCUAUGGAUGAAAGCGGGGGACCGUAAGGCCUCGCGCGAUUGGAGCGGCCGAUGUCAGAUUAGGUAGUUGGUGGGGUAAAGGCUCACCAAGCCAACGAUCUGUAGCUGGUCUGAGAGGACGACCAGCCACACUGGGACUGAGACACGGCCCAGACUCCUACGGGAGGCAGCAGUGGGGAAUUUUGGACAAUGGGCGCAAGCCUGAUCCAGCAAUGCCGCGUGCAGGAAGAAGGCCUUCGUGUUGUAAACUGCUUUUGUACGGAACGAAACGGCUCUGGUUAAUACCCGGGGCUAAUGACGGUACCGUAAGAAUAAGCACCGGCUAACUACGUG
Molecule: ribosomal RNA, 482 nt
Filed under: uncultured bacterium
Lineage: Bacteria
Description: partial 16S ribosomal RNA
Rfam family: Bacterial small subunit ribosomal RNA
Source: RNAcentral